UAAUACGGAGGGUGCAAGCGUUAAUCGGAAUUACUGGGCGUAAAGCGCACGCAGGCGGUUUGUUAAGUCAGAUGUGAAAUCCCCGGGCUCAACCUGGGAACUGCAUUUGAAACUGGCAAGCUAGAGUCUCGUAGAGGGGGGUAGAAUUCCAGGUGUAGCGGUGAAAUGCGUAGAGAUCUGGAGGAAUACCGGUGGCGAAGGCGGCCCCCUGGACAAAGACUGACGCUCAGGUGCGAAAGCGUGGGGAGCAAACAGGAUUAGAUACCCUGGUAGUCCACGCUGUAAACGAUGUCGAUUUGGAGGUUGUGCCCUUGAGGCGUGGCUUCCGGAGCUAACGCGUUAAAUCGACCGCCUGGGGAGUACGGCCGCAAGGUUA
This 376-nucleotide ribosomal RNA is filed under the name uncultured Serratia sp. RNAcentral's name for it is "bacterial SSU rRNA". It matches the Rfam family "Bacterial small subunit ribosomal RNA", at positions 521 to 896 of the family's 1533-position model. The record is from RNAcentral. Lineage: Bacteria; Pseudomonadati; Pseudomonadota; Gammaproteobacteria; Enterobacterales; Yersiniaceae.